UUACCAGGCCUUGACAUGCAGAGAACUUUCCAGAGAUGGAUUGGUGCCUUCGGGAACUCUGACACAGGUGCUGCAUGGCUGUCGUCAGCUCGUGUCGUGAGAUGUUGGGUUAAGUCCCGUAACGAGCGCAACCCUUGUCCUUAGUUACCAGCACGUUAUGGUGGGCACUCUAAGGAGACUGCCGGUGACAAACCGGAGGAAGUGGGGGAUGACGUCAAGUCAUCAUGGCCCUUACGGCCUGGGCUACACACGUGCUACAAUGGUCGGUACAAAGGGUUGCCAAGCCGCGAGGUGGAGCUAAUCCCAUAAAACCGAUCGUAGUCCAGAUCGCAGUCUGCAACUCGACUGCGUGAAGUCGGAAUCGCUAGUAAUCGUGAAUCAGAAUGUCACGGUGAAUACGUUCCCGGGCCUU
This 412-nucleotide ribosomal RNA is filed under the name uncultured Pseudomonas sp. RNAcentral describes it as "bacterial SSU rRNA". It matches the Rfam family "Bacterial small subunit ribosomal RNA", at positions 971 to 1382 of the family's 1533-position model. The record is from RNAcentral. Lineage: Bacteria; Pseudomonadati; Pseudomonadota; Gammaproteobacteria; Pseudomonadales; Pseudomonadaceae.